This is a non-coding RNA of Cottoperca gobio, 996 nucleotides long. The record is from the annotation of a RefSeq genome assembly. NCBI's taxonomy places the organism in Eukaryota, Metazoa, Chordata, Actinopteri, Perciformes, Bovichtidae.
UGCUCCCAGCCGUUAAGAGAUCAGAGUUGAUCGGUGGCUGUCCAGGCCUUUCAGAGACACUGACACGCCGGCAGCACAAUGAUGAUGUCACUGAUUCUACUGCUGGUCACCCUGGGGCUCCUUGUUCAGGAUUCAUCAGGAGAUAUCAUCCUGACUCAGUCUCCUGCAUCUCAGUCUGUUGUUCCAGGUCAGACUGUCUCUAUCAGAUGUAAAGCCAGUUCAACUGCCAGUACAUACCUUCACUGGUACCUCCAGAAACCUGAUGAACCUCCCAAACUCUUGAUUUAUGAUGCUACUAAUCGUCAGUCUGGAGUUUCAGGUCGUUUUAGUGGAAGUGGAUCUGGGACUGCCUUCACUCUGAGCAUCAGUGGAGUUCAGACUGAAGAUGCAGGAGAUUAUUACUGUCAGCAGUGUAACAGUUGGCCGUUGACUUUUGGUGGAGGAACCAGACUGGAUGUUGGAAGUGAUGUCCGUCCCACCCUGAUGGUUCUGCCCCCCUCCGGAGAAGAGCUGCAGCAGGGGAUGGCCACGCUCAUGUGCCUGGCCAACAAGGGCUUCCCCUCAGACUGGAGUCUGGCCUGGAAGGUGGACGGCAGCAGCAGCAUCAGCUGGGAGAAGAGCAGCAGCCCCGGGGUGCUGGAGAAGGACGGCCACUACAGCUGGAGCAGCACCCUGAGGCUCCCUGCAGACCAGUGGAGGAAGGUGGGCUCUGUGACCUGUGAGGCCACCCAGGGCUCCCAGACUGUGUUCUCAGAGACACUGAGGAGAGACCAGUGCUCCCAGUCCUGACCGGACUCACUGGGACUCUGCUACUGGUGUUACUCUGAUACUGCUCUCAGUCUGCACUCUGUUAUACUCUCUCUCUUUCUUUCCGUCAUCUGACUAUUUGAACAUAAUAAACUUCAAAUAGAUCUUUUUUUGUUCUAAUAAUAUGUAUGCCAUUAAUGCUGUAAGACAAUAAAGCAAAUUCAAAUAAGAAAUAUGUUUGUAUCGAAA